UCUGACGUAGCUCAGUUGGUUAGUAGCGUUCGCCUGUUAAGCGAAGGGUCGCAAGUUCAAGUCUUGCCGUCAGAGCCA
This 78-nucleotide transfer RNA is filed under the name Caudoviricetes sp. RNAcentral describes it as "tRNA-Asn". It matches the Rfam family "tRNA". Rfam says of the family: Transfer RNA (tRNA) molecules are approximately 80 nucleotides in length. Their secondary structure includes four short double-helical elements and three loops (D, anti-codon, and T loops). Lineage: Duplodnaviria; Heunggongvirae; Uroviricota; Caudoviricetes. The record is from RNAcentral.